Molecule: transfer RNA, 70 nt
Filed under: Prunus cerasifera (cherry plum)
Lineage: Eukaryota; Viridiplantae; Streptophyta; Magnoliopsida; Rosales; Rosaceae
Also listed under: 6 other names
Description: tRNA-Lys
Rfam family: tRNA
About the family: Transfer RNA (tRNA) molecules are approximately 80 nucleotides in length. Their secondary structure includes four short double-helical elements and three loops (D, anti-codon, and T loops).
Source: RNAcentral
CUCGUGAUGGAAUAGAGGUAAUUCGCCGGGCUUUUGCCCUGAGAUGUGGGUUCGACUCCCGCUCACGACC